Molecule: ribosomal RNA, 484 nt
Filed under: uncultured bacterium
Lineage: Bacteria
Description: partial 16S ribosomal RNA
Rfam family: Bacterial small subunit ribosomal RNA
Source: RNAcentral
AUUGAACGCUGGCGGAAUGCUUUACACAUGCAAGUCGAGCGGCAGCGCGGCCUUCGGGCUGGCGGCGAGCGGCGAACGGGUGAGUAAUGCAUCGGAACAUGCCCAGUCGUGGGGGAUAACACUUCGAAAGAAGUGCUAAUACCGCAUACGUCCUGAGGGGGAAAGCGGGGAAUCGCAAGACCUCGCGCGAUUGGAGUGGCCGAUGUCAGAUUAGCUAGUUGGUGGGGUAAAGGCCUACCAAGGCGACGAUCUGUAGCUGGUCUGAGAGGAUGAUCAGCCACACUGGGACUGAGACACGGCCCAGACUCCUACGGGAGGCAGCAGUGGGGAAUUUUGGACAAUGGGGGCAACCCUGAUCCAGCCAUUCCGCGUGAGUGAAGAAGGCCUUCGGGUUGUAAAGCUCUUUCGGCAGGAACGAAACGGUGGGCUCUAACAUAGUCCGCUAAUGACGGUACCUGAAGAAGAAGCACCGGCUAACUACGUG